GUUGUUUUGGUUUAAAAGUUGGUGCAUUUGCCUUGUCAAGGGUAUGGAACCUCAAUAUAUUGCUAAGUCAUAUUUCCAGGAUGUUGAUAGAAAAGUACUCCAGCCCAGCAGACUCCAGCCGAGCCGCACCCAGUGACGGCCGACGCCGAGCGGCCGGUCGGCGCUCCAGACGGGCCGCGCCGCCGGCCAGCCCACCGCCAGGCACUGCACCAGUAGCGGCCGCGCCUGCCCGGCCAGUACCCGGGCCGCGCACACUGCGGCUGACGUGCAGCCCGCCGCCGCCGCAGUCGCCGACCCAUGGACGGAUACACGGCCACCUACGUCCGGCUGGCC
RNAcentral lists this unclassified non-coding RNA (333 nucleotides) under Amphibalanus amphitrite. RNAcentral's name for it is "down syndrome cell adhesion molecule homolog, transcript variant X6". The record is from RNAcentral. Lineage: Eukaryota; Metazoa; Arthropoda; Thecostraca; Balanomorpha; Balanidae.